UAAGGAAUAUUGGACAAUGGGCGAGAGCCUGAUCCAGCCAUGCCGCGUGCAGGAAGACGGCCCUAUGGGUUGUAAACUGCUUUUGAACGGGAGAAAACCUACUUACGUGUAAGUAGCUGAUAGUACCGUUAGAAUAAGCAUCGGCUAACUUCGUGCCAGCAGCCGCGGUAAGACGAAGGAUGCAAGCGUUAUCCGGAUUCAUUGGGUUUAAAGGGUGCGUAGGCGGGCUUGUAAGUCAGUGGUGAAAUCUCUCAGCUUAACUGAGAAACUGCCAUUGAUACUGCAGGCCUAGAGUACAGAUGAUGUUGGCGGAAUAUGACAUGUAGUGGUGAAAUACUUAGAUAUGUCAUAGAACACCGAUUGCGAAGGCAGCUAACAAAACUGUAACUGACGCUGAGGC
Molecule: ribosomal RNA, 400 nt
Filed under: uncultured bacterium
Lineage: Bacteria
Description: bacterial SSU rRNA
Rfam family: Bacterial small subunit ribosomal RNA
Source: RNAcentral